UACGUAGGGUGCAAGCGUUAAUCGGAAUUACUGGGCGUAAAGCGUGCGCAGGCGGUUCCGCAAGUCAGAUGUGAAAUCCCCGGGCUCAACCUGGGAACUGCAUUUGAAACUACGGAGCUAGAGUGUGUCAGAGGGGGGUAGAAUUCCACGUGUAGCAGUGAAAUGCGUAGAGAUGCGGAGGAAUACCGAUGGCGAAGGCAGCCCCCUGGGAUGACACUGACGCUCAUGCACGAAAGCGUGGGGAGCAAACAGG
RNAcentral lists this ribosomal RNA (253 nucleotides) under uncultured bacterium. RNAcentral describes it as "partial 16S ribosomal RNA". It matches the Rfam family "Bacterial small subunit ribosomal RNA", at positions 524 to 776 of the family's 1533-position model. The record is from RNAcentral.